GAUGAACGCUGGCGGUAUGCCUAACACAUGCAAGUCGUACGAGAGUUUUUAACUCUAGUGGCGGACGGGUGAGUAACACGUGAGAAUUUGCCUUUAGGAGGGGGACAACAAUUGGAAACGAAUGCUAAUACCCCAUAUGCUUUCGAGUGAAAUGGAUUUUAUCCGCCUAGAGAGAAGCUCGCGGCUGAUUAGCUUGUUGGUAAGGUAAGAGCUUACCAAGGCGACGAUCAGUAUCUGGUUUGAGAGGACGAUCAGACACACUGGAACUGAGACACGGUCCAGACUCCUACGGGAGGCAGCAGUGGGGAAUUUUCCGUCAAUGGGCGAAAGCCUGACGGAGCAAUACCGCGUGAGGGAGAAUGCCUAUGGGUUGUAAACCUCUUUUUUCUAGGGAGGAAUAAAAUAGACGUGUACCUGAAGAAUAAGCAUCGGCUAACUCCGUG
Molecule: ribosomal RNA, 443 nt
Filed under: uncultured bacterium
Lineage: Bacteria
Description: bacterial SSU rRNA
Rfam family: Bacterial small subunit ribosomal RNA
Source: RNAcentral